UACGUAGGGGGCUAGCGUUGUUCGGAAUUACUGGGCGUAAAGCGCGCGUAGGCGGCUUUGCAAGUUAGAGGUGAAAGCCCGGGGCUCAACUCCGGAACUGCCUUUAAGACUGCAUCGCUUGAAUCCAGGAGAGGUGAGUGGAAUUCCGAGUGUAGAGGUGAAAUUCGUAGAUAUUCGGAAGAACACCAGUGGCGAAGGCGGCUCUCUGGACCGAGACUGACGCUGAGGCGCGAAAGCGUGGGGAGCAAACAGG
This 253-nucleotide ribosomal RNA is filed under the name uncultured bacterium. RNAcentral describes it as "partial 16S ribosomal RNA". It matches the Rfam family "Bacterial small subunit ribosomal RNA", at positions 524 to 776 of the family's 1533-position model. The record is from RNAcentral.